Molecule: ribosomal RNA, 1469 nt
Filed under: Paenibacillus sp. SMCC G938
Lineage: Bacteria; Bacillati; Bacillota; Bacilli; Caryophanales; Paenibacillaceae
Description: bacterial SSU rRNA
Rfam family: Bacterial small subunit ribosomal RNA (bases 707-1469)
Source: RNAcentral
AGGAUGAACGCUGGCGGCGUGCCUAAUACAUGCAAGUCGAGCGAACAGACGAGGASCUUGCUCCUCUGACGUUAGCGGCGGACGGGUGAGUAACACGUGGAUAACCUACCUAUAAGACUGGGAUAACUUCGGGAAACCGGAGCUAAUACCGGAUAAUAUAUUGAACCGCAUGGUUCAAUAGUGAAAGACGGUUUUGCUGUCACUUAUAGAUGGAUCCGCGCCGCAUUAGCUAGUUGGUAAGGUAACGGCUUACCAAGGCAACGAUGCGUAGCCGACCUGAGAGGGUGAUCGGCCACACUGGAACUGAGACACGGUCCAGACUCCUACGGGAGGCAGCAGUAGGGAAUCUUCCGCAAUGGGCGAAAGCCUGACGGAGCAACGCCGCGUGAGUGAUGAAGGUCUUCGGAUCGUAAAACUCUGUUAUUAGGGAAGAACAAAUGUGUAAGUAACUAUGCACGUCUUGACGGUACCUAAUCAGAAAGCCACGGCUAACUACGUGCCAGCAGCCGCGGUAAUACGUAGGUGGCAAGCGUUAUCCGGAAUUAUUGGGCGUAAAGCGCGCGUAGGCGGUUUUUUAAGUCUGAUGUGAAAGCCCACGGCUCAACCGUGGAGGGUCAUUGGAAACUGGAAAACUUGAGUGCAGAAGAGGAAAGUGGAAUUCCAUGUGUAGCGGUGAAAUGCGCAGAGAUAUGGAGGAACACCAGUGGCGAAGGCGACUUUCUGGUCUGUUCAGGACGAACGCUGGCGGCGUGCCUAAUACAUGCAAGUCGAGCGGGGUUAUUUAGAAGCUUGCUUCUAAACAACCUAGCGGCGGACGGGUGAGUAACACGUAGGCAACCUGCCCACAAGACAGGGAUAACUACCGGAAACGGUAGCUAAUACCCGAUACAUCCUUUUCCUGCAUGGGACAAGGAGGAAAGGCGGAGCAAUCUGUCACUUGUGGAUGGGCCUGCGGCGCAUUAGCUAGUUGGUGGGGUAAUGGCCUACCAAGGCGACGAUGCGUAGCCGACCUGAGAGGGUGAUCGGCCACACUGGGACUGAGACACGGCCCAGACUCCUACGGGAGGCAGCAGUAGGGAAUCUUCCGCAAUGGGCGAAAGCCUGACGGAGCAACGCCGCGUGAGUGAUGAAGGUUUUCGGAUCGUAAAGCUCUGUUGCCAGGGAAGAACGUCUUGUAGAGUAACUGCUACAAGAGUGACGGUACCUGAGAAGAAAGCCCCGGCUAACUACGUGCCAGCAGCCGCGGUAAUACGUAGGGGGCAAGCGUUGUCCGGAAUUAUUGGGCGUAAAGCGCGCGCAGGCGGCUCUUUAAGUCUGGUGUUUAAUCCCGAGGCUCAACUUCGGGUCGCACUGGAAACUGGGGAGCUUGAGUGCAGAAGAGGAGAGUGGAAUUCCACGUGUAGCGGUGAAAUGCGUAGAGAUGUGGAGGAACACCAGUGGCGAAGGCGACUCUCUGGGCUGUAACUGAC